Molecule: long non-coding RNA, 2071 nt
Filed under: Eucalyptus grandis
Lineage: Eukaryota; Viridiplantae; Streptophyta; Magnoliopsida; Myrtales; Myrtaceae
Description: long non-coding RNA (EGRA_LNC006000)
Source: RNAcentral
GUACACUUUUAUUUAUGUAACUAGAUGGACAUUGUUCAAUGAUACAUCCAAAAAGUGUCGUGGUUUCCUACACCCGGCUAUACUUCAAAAGUGGUUUGACGACCUCAACAACCACUUACUAAAUGUCCGUCUUUCAGUUCCGGCAUUUCAAAAGUUUCCUUCCUCUACUGUCCUCCUCCUCGCAGCUAUAUCCAACCACUCGAUCCAUCUGCUGGUGGCGGUGGCAACAGAGGUAUCUUGUCUAGUCUGAAAUGUUAGUUCCCAAAUAGGGUGAGUACAACCACAUAGCAGUAAAAGAUUCAUCAAGCUAUAUCAAGCAUUACUAUUAAUAUCAAGAUUCAAGUAUGGUAGACAAAAUAGGCAAUCCAUGAAUGAGUAUGCAUCCAAACCAUAUAACUCUUCGAUGCAAUGACCAGUGCAUUUCCAACCAAUAAGAUGCAUCGUGUCCAGCCACACAAGUCCCGACCAUUGGGCCAAACUGUAAUGACACGUCCCAUUCCAUGCCAUACAAUUUAGUCCCAUAACCAGACCACACUCACACUUAAUAUAAUCGUUCAUUUUAUCAUUCAAAAGGUUUCCAUCCCCUAGAGGACCAAUGUUUGCAUCCUUUUGGGAUUCCGCACCCAACUUGGCUUCGCGGAAGCCUCCGAGCAUGUAUUCAAAAUACAACCGAGCAUCCAAAGGGCAUCGACUCAUUCGAACCUCCGGGCAUCUUGCACCCUGCCUGGCAUCACGAGGAAUCACUAGGGACCAUAGACAUGGUUACCCCUAGCUUCCGGGCAUGCAUCAUAAUACAACCUCUCACCCUCUAGGCAUGUAUCAUAAUACAACUAGGCAUCCCGACACUCCCGGGGAAAAUCUCUGGGCAUGUAUUCAUAAUAAAACCAGGCAUCCAAAGGGUAUCGACUCAUUCGAACCUUUGGGCAUCCCGACUCCCGAGGCAUCGUUGACCUUAGCGUCCAAUGGUAACAAUUAACAUCUUAAUUUCCAGAAACACUUUUCAUUGCAAUAAAAAAAUGUCUAUUGAGUCUCAUCACAUCUCAAUAUUGCAUGAUAUGCCAAUUCCAGUAUCAUCAUUUCACAUAACCAUUACAAAACAUAUUCGCUUUUGGGACAUUUUGUGAAAAUUUGAAAACAGAGCAACUCGAUUUUUACCAUGCACCGUUCUGGUAAAUAUUUUGAAAUAAAUACUAAAUGAGCUCAGAAAAUUGUGAAAUUUUAACAUGUUAUCAAUGAGACUUUAAGAAAAAAAAUUUGUGAAGAACACCAUGUCAAAUUUCUUACGUAUCCAGAGUAAAAAUUCCGGUAUUCCUUAUUGACGUUCUGUAAAAUUUCCAGAUUUAACAUUUCUGUAUAAAAAAAUCAUUUCGCCAACCAAUUCUUGUCCAUUUAUGCUAAAUUUUUUAUAUGUUUCUCCUACAGAUAUGCUUUCCAACUUUUAUUAAGGAAUCGAAGUCAAAUUGUGGCUAGAAAAUUACAGAAAAAUCAAAAAGUCACCGAGGGUCACACUGUCCUUCACAAAACAGUCCAUUAACCUAACGAGAGUUUUUCCUACUCCUUGAAUUUCGACCUCCAACAUCCACAAUCAAAUAUAUACAAGUGUAUUACACUAUAACACAGCCUUAUCACUUCCAAAAAUCCUCCAUGGUCAAAUCUUUAAAUUCUUGUUCCAUCACAAAAUUCGAAAUCCACAAUGCAUGCCCUGUUUUUACCUAGUUUUCUUGAUCUAGUUUCAUCUUACAUGUCCAAAAUCCAACAUGCAGCUCUAAAAUUUCAUCUUUCUCACAUCUACCAACUCUUAGCUAGAUAAAACAGCAAGCAAAUCAUAGAUUGAAGAACUUCUGCUUGCCUUAAACCUUUCUACUCGAUUGCUGGCCAAAACAGGGGUUUGGGGGUCUUGGGCUUGGCUCAAUCGGCGGCGAAGACGGGCGGCGUCGACGGUGGUGGUUCGCACGAGCACAGACGGACGAGCACAGGCGGAGGGGCGACCUUCUCCCUCACUCCUGCUGGCAGCACGCUCAAACUCUCUCUCUCUCUCGCUCGCUAGCCCACUGCUCACUCUCGAUCUCUC